GAUGAACGCUGGCGGCGUGCCUAAUACAUGCAAGUCGAGCGAACGGACGAGAAGCUUGCUUCUCUGAUGUUAGCGGCGGACGGGUGAGUAACACGUGGAUAACCUACCUAUAAGACUGGGAUAACUUCGGGAAACCGGAGCUAAUACCGGAUAAUAUUUUGAACCGCAUUGUUCAAAAGUUAAAGACGGUCUUGCUGUCACUUAUAGAUGGAUCCGCGCUGCAUUAGCUAGUUGGUAAGGUAACGGCUUACCAAGGCAACGAUGCAUAUCCGACCUGAGAGGGUGAUCGGACACACUGGAACUGAGACACGGUCCAGACUCCUACGGGAGGCAGCAGUAGGGAAUCUUACGCAAUGGGCGAAAGCAUGACGGAGCAACGCCGCGUGAGUGAUGAAGGUCUUCGGAUCGUAAAACUCUGUUAUUAGGGAAGAAAAUAUGUGUAAGUAACUGUGAACAGCUUGACGGUACCUAAUCAGAAAGCCACGGCUAACUACGUG
Molecule: ribosomal RNA, 497 nt
Filed under: uncultured bacterium
Lineage: Bacteria
Description: partial 16S ribosomal RNA
Rfam family: Bacterial small subunit ribosomal RNA
Source: RNAcentral